AAACACGGACCAAGAAGUCUUGAAUGUGCGCGAGUCAAAGGGCUGGCUAAACCCCAAGGCGAAACGAAAGUGAAAUUGCUCAUCAAAAUUUCAUUGGGCUGAUCCGGUUCGGGGUGCGCGAGCGGGGGGCAAAUUCAUGUAGAGCCUAGGCGGCUUCGGUCGCGGCGCGCGGUCGUCGGUCCCAAUUCUUCCACACCUCCUUUGUCAUCGCGCACCUUCACGUUUAAGCGAUGAAAGGGGAGAGGUGGCGGUUUGCGGGUUCGUCGUCGUCGUCGCCUCGUUGUUGGCCGAAGCUCUGCAGCCCCCUUCAACUCUCCCCCCGAUUUGUCACCCAUAAAUAUGUGGACGGCGCAAGCCCGGGGCUCGCAUCGCUCCUCUUCGCGCAUUUGAGUCCGGCGUCACGCGGGUUGACGCCGUCGAUUUGAUCGCGGGGACGAGCAGCGGGUACCUUGAGCGCACAUAACAGGACCCGAAAGAUGGUGAUCUAUGCGUGGCGAGGAUGAAGCCAGGGGAAACUCUGGUGGAAGUCCGUAGCGAUUCUGACGUGCAAAUCGAUCGUCGGAGCUGCGUAUAGGGGCGAAAGACCUAUCGAACCAUCUAGUAGU
RNAcentral lists this ribosomal RNA (605 nucleotides) under Mica tardus. RNAcentral describes it as "partial 28S ribosomal RNA". It matches the Rfam family "Eukaryotic large subunit ribosomal RNA", at positions 657 to 951 of the family's 3401-position model. The record is from RNAcentral. Lineage: Eukaryota; Metazoa; Arthropoda; Malacostraca; Isopoda; Porcellionidae.